AUUGAACGCUGGCGGCAGGCCUAACACAUGCAAGUCGAACGAGUGGCGGACGGGUGAGUAAUGUCUGGGAAAAUGCCUGAUGGAGGGGGAUAACUACUGGAAACGGUAGCUACUACCGCAUACCAUCAGAUGUGCCCAGAUGGGAGUAGCUUGUGGGGGGGGUAACGGCUCACCAGGGCGACGAUCACUAGCUGGUCUGAGAGGAUGACCAGCCACACGGGAACUGAGACACGGUCCAGACUCCUACGGGAGGCAGCGGUGGGGAAUAUUGUACAAGGGGCGCAAGCCUGAUGCAGCCAUGCCGCGUGUAUGAAGAGGGCCUUCGGGUUGUAAAGUACUUUCAGCGGGGAGGCGUUACCCGCAGAAGAAGCACCGGCUAACUCCGUGCCAGCAGCCGCGGUAAUAC
RNAcentral lists this ribosomal RNA (406 nucleotides) under uncultured bacterium. RNAcentral's name for it is "partial 16S ribosomal RNA". It matches the Rfam family "Bacterial small subunit ribosomal RNA", at positions 29 to 526 of the family's 1533-position model. The record is from RNAcentral.